UACGUAUGGAGCAAGCGUUAUCCGGAUUUACUGGGUGUAAAGGGAGUGUAGGUGGCAUCACAAGUCAGAAGUGAAAGCCCGGGGCUCAACCCCGGGAUUGCUUUUGAAACUGUGGAGCUGGAGUGCAGGAGAGGCAAGUGGAAUUCCUAGUGUAGCGGUGAAAUGCGUAGAUAUUAGGAGGAACACCAGUGGCGAAGGCGGCUUGCUGGACUGUAACUGACACUGAGGCUCGAAAGCGUGGGGAGCAAACAGG
Molecule: ribosomal RNA, 253 nt
Filed under: Lachnospira pectinoschiza
Lineage: Bacteria; Bacillati; Bacillota; Clostridia; Lachnospirales; Lachnospiraceae
Description: partial 16S ribosomal RNA
Rfam family: Bacterial small subunit ribosomal RNA
Source: RNAcentral